CAGACAGCUAGGAGGUUGGCUUAGAAGCAGCCAUCCUUUAAAGAAAGCGUAAUAGCUCACUAGUCGAGUCGGCCUGCGCGGAAGAUUUAACGGGGCUAAACUGAUAACCGAAGCUGCGGACGCAUACUUGUAUGCGUGGUAGAGGAGCGUUCUGUAAGCCGUUGAAGGUGCAUCGUAAGGUGUGCUGGAGGUAUCAGAAGUGCGAAUGCUGACGUGAGUAACGAUAAAGCGGGUGAAAAACCCGCUCGCCGGAAGAUCAAGGUUUCCUGUCCAACGCUAAUCGGGACAGGGUUAGUCGGUACCUAAGGCGAGGCCGAAAGGCGUAGUCGAUGGAAAACAGGUUAAUAUUCCUGUACCGCUAUAUACUGCGAUGGGGGGACGGAGAAGGCUAGGUGAUCAGGGCGAUGGUUGUCCCUGUACAAGCUUGUAGGGAGAUCUCUUAGGUAAAUCCGGGAGAUCAUUAUCCUGAGGAGUGAUGUCGAGCUCAAUUGCGAGCGAAGUCAUUGAUGCCAUGCUUCCAAGAAAAGCCUCUAAGCUUCAGGUAUAUAGAGACCGUACUCUAAACCGACACAGGUGAUCAGGUAGAGAAUACCAAGGCGCUUGAGAGAACUAUGGUGAAGGAACUAGGCAAAAUGGUGCCGUAACUUCGGGAGAAGGCACGCCGAUUUUGGUGAUGGGAUUUACUCCCUAAGCUGAGGUUGGCCGCAGAGACCAGGCCCCUGCGACUGUUUAUCUAAAACACAGCACUCUGCAAACUCGUAAGAGGAAGUAUAGGGUGUGACGCCUGCCCGGUGCCGGAAGGUUAAUUGAUGGGGUUAGCUUCGGCGAAGCUCUUGAUCGAAGCCCCGGUAAACGGCGGCCGUAACUAUAACGGUCCUAAGGUAGCGAAAUUCCUUGUCGGGUAAGUUCCGACCUGCACGAAUGGCGUAACGACGGGGGCGCUGUCUCCACCAUAGACUCAGUGAAAUCGAAAUCGCGGUGAAGAUGCCGUGUUCCCGCGGCUAGACGGAAAGACCCCGUGAACCUUUACUAUAGCUUGGCACUGAACUUUGAACCUAUCUGUGUAGGAUAGGUGGGAGGCUUUGAAGCGUGAUCGCUAGAUUGCGUGGAGCCAUCCUUGAAAUACCACCCUGGUAUGUUUGAGGUUCUAACGCAGACCCGUUAUCCGGGUCGCGGACAGUGUCUGGUGGGUAGUUUGACUGGGGCGGUCUCCUCCCAAAGAGUAACGGAGGAGCGCGAAGGUACACUCAGCAUGGUCGGAAAUCAUGCUAUGAGCGCAAAGGUAGAAGUGUGCUUGACUGCGAGACUGACACGUCGAGCAGGUACGAAAGUAGGUCUUAGUGAUCCGGUGGUUCUGUAUGGAAGGGCCAUCGCUCAACGGAUAAAAGGUACUCCGGGGAUAACAGGCUGAUACCGCCCAAGAGUUCAUAUCGACGGCGGUGUUUGGCACCUCGAUGUCGGCUCAUC
Molecule: ribosomal RNA, 1467 nt
Filed under: marine metagenome
Description: bacterial LSU rRNA
Rfam family: Bacterial large subunit ribosomal RNA
Source: RNAcentral